ACUCAGCUGCUUAACUCCCAUCGACUUCACUAAGACAAAGACAUUUAAUAUCACUGAGGAUCUGGGCCCAAUGUGGUUUGGAAUAUCCUGUUGGAUACCAUUCCUUAUCUUCAGGUGACUAAGGACUCCAAAAACCCAGUCCCAAAUGCCCUCAGAGAUUUUGGACAAUCAGCAUAUAACUCUCUCCUGGGCUGCCCGGUUAAAGGCCACUGUGAUGAUGCUGGAAAAGCCAUCCAGACAAGCUUGGAAGGAGACAAAAGCCUGGAUUUGGAAGGGCUUGACAAUGAGAUGGCAUGGAUGGUUGGGGUUUGAGCGCCAAGGCGUGCUGCAGGACCUCAGUCCACUGGGAGACAAAGCUGGAACGUGUUCUCCAUGCUCAGACCCACAUUAUAGACACGGGCUGAAUAUUCCCCACUGGGAUGUGGGAGAGAAUCAGAAAGGUAAAAUUCCAAACCAUCGUGAGAUAAGAUAAAGACAGUUUAAUAGAUAAAGCAAAAGCUGUGCAUGCAAGCAAAACAAACUCCUCCCAUCAGCAGACAUUACCGGGAAAGCUGGGUUCUGUCACACAUCAUGGUGAUUGGGAAGACAAAUGCCAUCGCUCUGAACAUCCUCCCUUCCUCCUGCCCAGCUGUGUCCCCUCCCAGCUCCUUGCGCACCCCAGCCUCCUCUCUGUGCAAGCACUGCUCAGCAAUAGCUAAAACACUGGUCUGUUAUCGGCACUGUUUGGGUCACAAAUCCAAAACAGACCACCAAUACAAGUCACUAUGAAGAAAAUUAACUCUAUUGCAGCAAAAAGAGUCCAAAAAGAGCAAUAAGGGUCCUGGUGGAGUCAGGCUGGAUGAAAACAAUCUCAAGGCUGGUUCUCAGCAUCUCUGUAUUCCUGCUCUCAGAAAUGGCCACUCUCAUUUGUCUGAGGAUGAUUUACUAUCUGGAAAGUGAGCAAUGAUGCAGUGCCCAUGAGCUCAUGGGGACCGUCUCCACUCCAUGGUUCUCACCUGCAGUAACAU
Molecule: long non-coding RNA, 1007 nt
Filed under: Anas platyrhynchos platyrhynchos (common mallard)
Lineage: Eukaryota; Metazoa; Chordata; Aves; Anseriformes; Anatidae
Description: lncRNA (ENSAPLG00000019044.1)
Source: RNAcentral